AAACUGCGAUACGUAGUGUGAAUUGCAGAAUUCAGUGAAUCAUCGAAUCUUUGAACGCAAAUUGCGCUGUCGGGAAUUCCUGACAGCAUACUUGGCUGAGUAUCAUCUGGAUAAAUCACAAAGAGAUUUUUUUUCUUUUUGUGGAUAUGAGGUGUCACAUUGUAUUUCAAGCAAUGCGUCCCUUUAAAUUAAGAAAGGUGAAGAGGAAUAUUAGUUGUCCUUGAUACCACUAGUGUGGCAUUUGUCCUAUGGGCAUUACAAAGCACUACGUCGGGACUUGGGCAUCACAAACUAAUAUGACUUUUCAAUAAUUGCCUUUUAUUAUUAACAAAUUCAUUUUUGAAAUUUUGAUCUCAGCUCAAGUAAGACUACCCGCUGAAUUUAA
Molecule: unclassified non-coding RNA, 385 nt
Filed under: uncultured fungus
Lineage: Eukaryota; Fungi
Description: sequence contains ITS1
Rfam family: 5.8S ribosomal RNA (bases 1-105)
Source: RNAcentral